GUGCUUGUAGCUCAGUUGGAUAGAGUGUUGGCCUCCGAAGCCAAAGGUCGUGGGUUCGAUUCCCGCCAAGCACGCCA
RNAcentral lists this transfer RNA (77 nucleotides) under Moraxella sp. RNAcentral's name for it is "tRNA-Arg". It matches the Rfam family "tRNA". Rfam says of the family: Transfer RNA (tRNA) molecules are approximately 80 nucleotides in length. Lineage: Bacteria; Pseudomonadati; Pseudomonadota; Gammaproteobacteria; Moraxellales; Moraxellaceae. The record is from RNAcentral.